UACGUAGGGUGCGAGCGUUGUCCGGAAUUAUUGGGCGUAAAGAGCUUGUAGGCGGUUUGUCGCGUCUGCCGUGAAAUUUCGAGGCUCAACCUCGAACUUGCGGUGGGUACGGGCAGGCUAGAGUUCGGUAGGGGAGACUGGAAUUCCUGGUGUAGCGGUGAAAUGCGCAGAUAUCAGGAGGAACACCGGUGGCGAAGGCGGGUCUCUGGGCCGAUACUGACGCUGAGGAGCGAAAGCGUGGGGAGCGAACAGG
Molecule: ribosomal RNA, 253 nt
Filed under: uncultured bacterium
Lineage: Bacteria
Description: partial 16S ribosomal RNA
Rfam family: Bacterial small subunit ribosomal RNA
Source: RNAcentral